Molecule: ribosomal RNA, 377 nt
Filed under: uncultured bacterium
Lineage: Bacteria
Description: bacterial SSU rRNA
Rfam family: Bacterial small subunit ribosomal RNA
Source: RNAcentral
GACGAACCGUGCGAACGUUAUUCGGAAUCACUGGGCUUAAAGCGCGUGUAGGCGGAUGGGAACGUCGGUAGUUGAAAGCCCCCGGCUCAACCGGGGAAGUGGUGCCGAAACGACCCGUCUGGAGGGACGUAGGGGGACCUGGAACUUCCGGUGGAGCGGUGAAAUGCGUUGAGAUCGGAAGGAACGCCCGUGGCGAAAGCGAGGUCCUGGACGUCUACUGACGCUGAGACGCGAAAGCUAGGGGAGCAAACGGGAUUAGAUACCCCGGUAGUCCUAGCCGUAAACGAUGGGCACUGGGUAGGGGGCUCGCCGAUGGGCUCUCUGCCGUAGGGAAACCGUGAAGUGCCCCGCCUGGGGAGUAUGGUCGCAAGGCUGAA